This 432-nucleotide ribosomal RNA is filed under the name uncultured bacterium. RNAcentral describes it as "partial 16S ribosomal RNA". It matches the Rfam family "Bacterial small subunit ribosomal RNA", at positions 338 to 795 of the family's 1533-position model. The record is from RNAcentral.
CCUACGGGGCGCAGCAGUAAGGAAUAUUAUGCAAUGGACGCAAGUCUGACAUAGCCAUGCCGCGUGCAGGAUGAAGGCGCUUGCGUUGUAAACUGCUUUUAUCUGGGAAGCGGUACCAGAGGAAUAAGCACCGGCUAACUCCGUGCCAGCAGCCGCGGUAAUACGGAGGGUGCAAGCGUUAUCCGGAUUUACUGGGUUUAAAGGGUGCGUAGGCGGGCAGUUAAGUCAGUGGUGAAAUCUCCGAGCUUAACUUGGAAACUGCCAUUGAUACUAUCUGUCUUGAAUCUUGUGGAGGUAAAUGGAAUAUGUCAUGUAGCGGUGAAAUGCUUAGAGAUGACAUGGAACACCAAUUGCGAAGGCAGUUUGCUACACAAGAUUGACGCUGAGGCACUAAAGCGUGGGGAUCAAACAGGAUUAGAUACCCCUGUAGUC